GCUUCCGUGGCCUAAUGGUAAGGCGUGUGACUUCUACCUUCCAACCGAAGUAUUAGCAAUCCCAAGAUUGCGGGUUCGAGCCCCGCCGGAAGCU
Aspergillus carlsbadensis is the source of this 94-nucleotide non-coding RNA. The record is from the annotation of a GenBank genome assembly. Lineage: Eukaryota; Fungi; Ascomycota; Eurotiomycetes; Eurotiales; Aspergillaceae.